CUAAGUAUGUAGAACUGCCUGUAGAGUGCUUGCGGACGCGGGUUCAAUUCCCGCCGUCUCCACCA
RNAcentral lists this transfer-messenger RNA (65 nucleotides) under Gallionella sp. RNAcentral describes it as "partial transfer-messenger RNA". It matches the Rfam family "transfer-messenger RNA", at positions 308 to 374 of the family's 374-position model. Rfam says of the family: Bacterial tmRNA, also known as 10Sa RNA or SsrA, is named for its dual tRNA and mRNA-like properties. Its role is to liberate the mRNA from a stalled ribosome. The record is from RNAcentral. Lineage: Bacteria; Pseudomonadati; Pseudomonadota; Betaproteobacteria; Nitrosomonadales; Gallionellaceae.